This is a long non-coding RNA of Lathyrus oleraceus (garden pea), 2402 nucleotides long. RefSeq lists it as uncharacterized. NCBI's taxonomy places the organism in Eukaryota, Viridiplantae, Streptophyta, Magnoliopsida, Fabales, Fabaceae. The transcript has 5 exons. The record is from RefSeq and is a predicted model, not a curated record.
GUGAUGUGUGCUACUUUGUUUCCUUAUCUUUUUGUGUGAGAACUAUUGUUUUUGAACCUUUUUCUCUCUUCCCCUUCCUUUCUACAAUUAUCCCUCAUCUGGAUCUAGGUAAGCCAUUACCAUUCAGGGUUUCAACAAUAUUUUUGUUAUCAAAACCAAACUCCAUAUUUCGAAAACAACAAUAUAAGGCUAUUUACAUGGAUUUUUAAAUCGAGAAAGCUUUCGCCAUUAAGACGUCUUUGUUUACCUUUAUGCUAUGAGAGAUAAUCGCGAGAGCUUCACCUUUUCUGCUAUACCUUGGUGUAUCAGUGUUAUCAUGAUGUUUGUGGCUCUCUGUGUUAGUGUUGCACAUCUUAUCCUUGGCUUUUCUAGGUGAAGCAUUGUGUUGAUCAUUAUUGAUGGGGAGCAAUCCUCAUAUUAUUUUGAUAGUGAUACCUAUUUUGGCGAAUGUGGCGGUCAUUAUCCUUGUUCUGAUGUUGAGAAAUUGGGUUAUUUAGUGUGAUAUUUCCCCAUGGGGGAAACUUUGUUCACGACAUGCACGUGUAAUACAAAGGAGGAGUGAAACCAAUGUAGAAGGGAAAGAAUAUGAUAAGUGGAGUUUUUUCGAGGAAGUUAGCUUAGUUAAAGACUUGGUUUAUGAUGGAUUUAGACUUUGGAAAAAGAUAUUAGGACUUCAUGAAGGGUUUGUUCACUUCAUUGAUGAUGUAGAAGCUGAAAAAAAUUCUAAUCACAACCUUGGUAGUAAUGUUGAUGGGCAUAUAUGGGUAGAACAUGGUGUUGAAGACAUGAUAGCAAUGUGUUAAAGCCUGAUAUUAAGUAAUUUAGUUAAUGUAAUGAUGAUUAUAUCACUGAUGACGAUGAUGGGGGAAUAAGAUUUGAUGAUACCAAACUAUGGUGUAAAAAUUCCUUUAGUUUUUAGCUAAGUGUGAUGUGUUGAUGAACAACCUUAGUGAGUCAUUUAAUAAUAAAAUUCUACAAGUUAGAGACAAACCUGACAAUGUGUGAGUGGAUUAGGAACUAUAUAAUAAAUAGGGUUGCUAACAAUUUGGUUAAGCUUGACAAAUGGAAAAACAAUGUCAUGCCUAUACCUAGGAAAAAAUUAGAUAAGGAAAUUUUGUUGAGUGGUCAAUGGCUGCCAACAUGGAGUAAGGGUGAGUUAUGGCAAGUUCAUCAUACAUAUAAUGGACUUUAGUUAGUAGUUAAUCUUGGGGAAAAAUUAUAUGUGUUGCUUUUGGGACCUAGUGGGGAUACCUUGUAUACAUGUUGUGUCUGCUAUGUAGUAUCAAAAUUUGAACCAUGAAUCAUAUGUUGACCCAUGUUACACGAGGGAGGCUUAUAAAACCUACUAUGAAAACAAUGUCAGUCCAAUCAAUGGUAUGGACACAUGGCCAAAUAUGGACAUUGAGGACAUGUUGCCACCUCAGUAUAAGAAGGGUCCAUGUAAGCCUAAGAAAUUGAGGUUUAUAGAGCAUGAUGAAUCUGGGUCUAGGAUGAGCAGGCAUGGUGUAGCAUAUAGAUGCACAAAGUAUGACAAAUUUGGUAAUAAUUCAAGGAAAUGUCAUAGCAAAGAACAUGAUCUUAAUGCAUUGAAAAGAAAGAAGAGAACACCAAGGACCAAGGCCUUUGCAAAUGAUGCUGAAAUUGAAGGGGUGUCUAAGAUAAAUGCUCCUGAAAGUGUGCAUGGAAUAAAUGACCCAAAUUUAGAUGCACAGCUUAAAGAGAGGAUGACAUAUUUUGAACACACAACUGAUGUUGCACAAAUAGAGAAGGCAUAAUCUCAAGUGUGCAAUACCACCCAUGAAUGUACACUAAUAUAGCAUACACAAGAAGACGAAGUUGUCCAAGCAAUUCCUCAAGAAGUUGUCCAAGAAGUUUCUCAAGAAGUUGACAAAAUAGUUGAGAAGAAGAAAAAAGUUGCCAAAGUAGCUGAGAAGAAGAAACAAGUUACUAAAGUAGUUGAGAAGAAGAAACAAGUUUUUGAGGAAGUUAAGAAGAAUAAAUAAGUUACCAAGGAAUUUGAGAAGAAGAACAAAAUUGGUGUGAAUAAUACACAGGCACCUAAGAGAAUUAGUGAUAGGUUGGAAUCUAUUUGGAGGUCUAAACAUAAUGUUGGGCCUGGUUCAACUUCAGAUGCAUCAUUUGUAGUUGAUGAGGAACCUUCUAUGAAGAAAAUGAGGCCAUGGGAGGAAAUUUCAAGGAGAAUGACUCAGUAAUGCUUAUUAUUAGGUAGUUUGUAACUUAUUAGGAGAAUGACUCAAUAAUGCUUAUCUAAGAAACAUUUAUUUUGUAACUUCUAUUUUAUAUACAAUAUCUUCUACUUUUGGGAACAUCUUUGUAAUACAAACUAGAUGCACAUUUUGGAUCAACAUUUAAUGAUUUUGUAACUUAUAUGUUAUGCACAA